Molecule: ribosomal RNA, 482 nt
Filed under: uncultured bacterium
Lineage: Bacteria
Description: bacterial SSU rRNA
Rfam family: Bacterial small subunit ribosomal RNA
Source: RNAcentral
CUGGCUCAGGACGAACGCUGGCGGCGCGCCUAACACAUGCAAGUCGAACGGACUUGGAGAGCUUGCUCUUAAGUUAGUGGCGGACGGGUGAGUAACACGUGAGCAACCUGCCUUUCAGAGGGGGACAACAGUUGGAAACGACUGCUAAUACCGCAUAAGACCACGGGAUGGCAUCAUUCUGCGGUCAAAGAUUUAUCGCUGAAAGAUGGGCUCGCGUCCGAUUAGAUAGUUGGUGAGGUAACGGCCCCACCAAGUCGACGAUCGGUAGCCGGACUGAGAGGUUGAACGGCCACAUUGGGACUGAGACACGGCCCAGACUCCUACGGGAGGCAGCAGUGGGGGAUAUUGGACAAUGGGGGCAACCCUGAUCCAGCGACGCCGCGUGAGGGAAGAAGGUUUUCGGAUUGUAAACCUCUGUUGACAGGGAAGAAAAUGACGGUACCUGUUUAGAAAGCCACGGCUAACUACGUGCCAGCAGCUGC